CUCAGCCUCUAGCUAUUUUCUCAGCUCUGCCUGGCUGAUAAAGGUGCCUACCAAACAUAGAGCCAUCACCUGCUUUCUGCACCAGGCUAUUGGAGUCAAGGGGAAAGUUGGAUGAAGAGGUGGACAUGUACAGACAAGUCACAUGGAGAGUCCUAUUUAGUCUCCUACUUGAUUAUACUCAAGAAGAUUCUCCAUCUGAGCACAUAAAAGAAACCAGCCCUGCCAACACAUUAAUGCUAGAGGCUCAACCACCUGAACUGCAAGUGACCAGGGGAACAGUGGUACCUCAUACAUAACUCUAGCAGACCACGCAGAAGGGUGAGCAAGCUUCCUACACACUUUGUUUUAGCUUUCAUCACUAUCAGAAUUGGUUUUGUUCAUCCCAUUCAACCAGCAAGUGUGCAUCCAUCAUUCACCUGUAAAAACAGCCAUGAGAUAGUGGAACAGUUUAAAGCUUGUGAAAAAAGCAAGUCCCAUGAGAGUGAUGCUGCCUGCAGGUGGACAGACAUUUAUGGGUGUGGAUGGCAGCAAUGGAGGAUAAGCUGAGGUACUCAGAGACUCCCGGGGGCAGGUCAGCAGGCAGAUGGAAGUGAGACCAUGAAUAUUCCUGCCUUGAGUCCUCAUCCAGUGGCUGAUGGAAGCAGAGGCAGACACCCACAGAUAUACACUGAACUGAACUCUGGAAUCUAGUUGCAGAGAGAGAGGAAUGAAGAUCAAACGGGGAGGUACCAGGCUGGUGAAACCCACAAAAACAGCUGGCCUGAACAAGGGGGAGCACAUGAACCCCAGACUGCUGUCUGGGAGGCCAGCACAGGACUGACCCAGACCCCUGAACAUGGAUGUCAAUUAGGAGGCCCCGCACCUUAGGGGCCCCUGGUAAUGGAUUAGUAUUUUUCCCUGGUGUAAAAAGGGACUUUGAGAGCCCAUCCCACGUGAAGGGAUACACUCUUGCUGUGGGCACAUGGGGGAGGGCCUAGGCCCGGCCCAAGAUGAUGUGUGGACUUUGGGGAGCCACCAUAAAGGGCCCUACUCUGCCUGGGGAGUGGAG
This 1048-nucleotide long non-coding RNA is filed under the name Cricetulus griseus (Chinese hamster). RNAcentral's name for it is "lncRNA (ENSCGRG00015037525.1)". Lineage: Eukaryota; Metazoa; Chordata; Mammalia; Rodentia; Cricetidae. The record is from RNAcentral.